Molecule: ribosomal RNA, 463 nt
Filed under: uncultured bacterium
Lineage: Bacteria
Description: partial 16S ribosomal RNA
Rfam family: Bacterial small subunit ribosomal RNA
Source: RNAcentral
AUUGAACGCUGGCGGCAGGCCUAACACAUGCAAGUCGAACGAGUGGCGGACGGGUGAGUAAUGUCUGGGAAACUGCCCGAUGGAGGGGGAUAACUACUGGAAACGGUAGCUAAUACCGCAUACCAUCGGAUGUGCCCAGAUGGGAUUAGCUAGUAGGUGGGGUAACGGAUCACCUAGGCGACGAUCCCUAGCUGGUCUGAGAGGAUGACGAAGGAUGUGAGGGAACGGCACACCCAGUCGACGCUCAAUAGCUGGUCAGAGAGGUGGAACAGCCACACUGGACCUUCGCACGGUCGAGUCCCCUACGGCGCAAGCCUGAUGAAGCCAUGCAGCGUGUAUGAAUAAGGCCUACGGGUUGUAAAGUACUUUCAGCGAGGAGGAAGGCGGUGUGUAAUAACCGCAACGAUUGACGUUACUCGCAGAAGAAGCACGGCUAACUCCGUGCCAGCAGCAGCGGUAAUAC